AAGCUUGCUUGUUGGGGUUGUAGGACACUCUAUACGGAGUUACAAAGGACGACAUUAGACGAAUCAUCUGGAAAGAUGAAUCAAAGAAGGUAAUAAUCCUGUAGUCGAAAAUGUUGUCUCUCUUGAGUGGAUCCUGAGUACGACGGAGCACGUGAAAUUCCGUCGGAAUCUGGGAGGACCAUCUCCUAAGGCUAAAUACUCUCUAGUGACCGAUAGUGAACCAGUACCGUGAGGGAAAGGUGAAAAGCACCCCGGAAGGGGAGUGAAAUAGAACCUGAAACCGUGUGCUUACAAGUAGUCAGAGCCCGUUAAUGGGUGAUGGCGUGCCUUUUGUAGAAUGAACCGGCGAGUUACGAUUUGAUGCAAGGUUAAGCAGUAAAUGUGGAGCCGUAGCGAAAGCGAGUCUGAAUAGGGCGUUUAGUAUUUGGUCGUAGACCCGAAACCAGGUGAUCUACCCUUGGUCAGGUUGAAGUUCAGGUAACACUGAAUGGAGGACCGAACCGACUUACGUUGAAAAGUGAGCGGAUGAACUGAGGGUAGCGGAGAAAUUCCAAUCGAACCUGGAGAUAGCUGGUUCUCUCCGAAAUAGCUUUAGGGCUAGCCUCAAGUGAUGAUUAUUGGAGGUAGAGCACUGUUUGGACGAGGGGCCCCUCUCGGGUUACCGAAUUCAGACAAACUCCGAAUGCCAAUUAAUUUAACUUGGGAGUCAGAACAUGGGUGAUAAGGUCCGUGUUCGAAAGGGAAACAGCCCAGACCACCAGCUAAGGUCCCAAAAUAUAUGUUAAGUGGAAAAGGAUGUGGCGUUGCCCAGACAACUAGGAUGUUGGCUUAGAAGCAGCCAUCAUUUAAAGAGUGCGUAAUAGCUCACUAGUCGAGUGACACUGCGCCGAAAAUGUACCGGGGCUAAACAUAUUACCGAAGCUGUGGAUUGUCCUUUGGACAAUGGUAGGAGAGCGUUCUAAGGGCGUUGAAGCAUGAUCGUAAGGACAUGUGGAGCGCUUAGAAGUGAGAAUGCCGGUGUGAGUAGCGAAAGACGGGUGAGAAUCCCGUCCACCGAUUGACUAAGGUUUCCAGAGGAAGGCUCGUCCGCUCUGGGUUAGUCGGGUCCUAAGCUGAGGCCGACAGGCGUAGGCGAUGGAUAACAGGUUGAUAUUCCUGUACCACCUAUAAUCGUUUUAAUCGAUGGGGGGACGCAGUAGGAUAGGCGAAGCGUGCGAUUGGAUUGCACGUCUAAGCAGUAAGGCUGAGUAUUAGGCAAAUCCGGUACUCGUUAAGGCUGAGCUGUGAUGGGGAGAAGACAUUGUGUCUUCGAGUCGUUGAUUUCACACUGCCGAGAAAAGCCUCUAGAUAGAAAAUAGGUGCCCGUACCGCAAACCGACACAGGUAGUCAAGAUGAGAAUUCUAAGGUGAGCGAGCGAACUCUCGUUAAGGAACUCGGCAAAAUGACCCCGUAACUUCGGGAGAAGGGGUGCUCUUUAGGGUUAACGCCCAGAAGAGCCGCAGUGAAUAGGCCCAAGCGACUGUUUAUCAAAAACACAGGUCUCUGCUAAACCGUAAGGUGAUGUAUAGGGGCUGACGCCUGCCCGGUGCUGGAAGGUUAAGAGGAGUGGUUAGCUUCUGCGAAGCUACGAAUCGAAGCCCCAGUAAACGGCGGCCGUAACUAUAACGGUCCUAAGGUAGCGAAAUUCCUUGUCGGGUAAGUUCCGACCCGCACGAAAGGCGUAACGAUUUGGGCACUGUCUCAACGAGAGACUCGGUGAAAUCAUAGUACCUGUGAAGAUGCAGGUUACCCGCGACAGGACGGAAAGACCCCGUGGAGCUUUACUGUAGCCUGAUAUUGAAAUUCGGCACAGCUUGUACAGGAUAGGUAGGAGCCUUUGAAACGUGAGCGCUAGCUUACGUGGAGGCGCUGGUGGGAUACUACCCUAGCUGUGUUGGCUUUCUAACCCGCACCACUUAUCGUGGUGGGAGACAGUGUCAGGCGGGCAGUUUGACUGGGGCGGUCGCCUCCUAAAAGGUAACGGAGGCGCUCAAAGGUUCCCUCAGAAUGGUUGGAAAUCAUUCAUAGAGUGUAAAGGCAUAAGGGAGCUUGACUGCGAGACCUACAAGUCGAGCAGGG
This 2119-nucleotide ribosomal RNA is filed under the name Staphylococcus aureus. Its description in RNAcentral is "partial 23S ribosomal RNA". It matches the Rfam family "Bacterial large subunit ribosomal RNA", at positions 280 to 2398 of the family's 2925-position model. Lineage: Bacteria; Bacillati; Bacillota; Bacilli; Caryophanales; Staphylococcaceae. The record is from RNAcentral.